AUGAAUAACAUAUUAAACCUUAGCUACACGCAUCUUCCUCUUCAUCUCCGGGCAUGUUUUUUGUACCUUGGUAUGUAUCCUGAGGACCACAUUAUAUGGCGGGAUCAUCUUGUUAGACAAUGGAUAGCUGAAGGCUUCGUCAGCAGUUUGCAUGGGUCAGAUUUGGAGGAUAUUGGCAGGAGUUACUUCAAUGAGCUCGUCAAUAGAAGUAUGAUUCAGCCAUCAAAAACUGAGUAUGGAGAGGUGUUGUCUUGCACAGUACAUGACAUGAUGCUUGAUUUGAUCCUAAUCAAGUGUGUAGAAGACAAUUUUCUAAGUGUGGCGUACAAUUCUGAGGACAUGGCAAGACUGAUGCAUGGCUGCAAGUACAAUGUUCGCAGAUUAUCCCUGAGCUCCAUGGCUAUUGGUGGAGCAACAUAUGAGUAUGAUAUGGCUAUUGCUGCUAGACUGCCACAAGUUCGGUCAUUUAUAUUGUUUGAGAAUCCCAUACCACCUUUUUUGUGGUUCAAGUAUCUCAGGGUGCUCAUCAUUGUUAGGGGAAAGGAUACAGUUGACCUCACUGCCAUUAGCCAACUGUUUCAGCUGAGGUGUGUGAUGGUUAGAGUCGAUGGGAAAAUAGAGCUCCCUACUGAACUUGGUAAGCUUGUUUACUUGGAGACACUGGACAUACAGAAAUGCAGGCUGGUAAAGAGCAUCCCUUCAGAUAUAGUUCAUUUGCCCCGCCUGUCCUAUCUGGGUCUUCCAAAUUGUACAGACCUGCCGGAAGGUAUCGAUAAUAUGAAAUCACUGCGUACUCUGCAAGAGUUUGACCUGGAAAAGAUCUCCCUGAAGUAUAUUAUGGGUCUCAGCGAGCUGACCAAUCUGAGGGAACUGAGUGUGAAAAAAGAGUUCAGUUUGGGGACGCAAAAAGUUGAUGCUUUGGCCUUCUCCAUUGGAAAGCUCCGUAACCUCGAAUGUCUGCGCAUCUUUGGUUGCCAUCUUGAGAGUGAGAACCUGCAGCUGGGCUCAUUAUCCAAUCCUUUUCAACAUAUGGAGCGACUUUGCAUGAGAACAUGGUGGUUCUGCAGAGUUCCGAAAUGGAUGGAUGGUCUCCAUUGUCUGCGCGUCCUUGAGCUGCAGGUUGAGACGUCAACUGAGGAGAUUCAUCUUCUUGGAGAGCUUCCCUCCCUCGUCUACCUCAACUUUGGAGCGGGUAAAAUCCCUGCUGAAAGAGCUAUAUUAGGCACAGGACUAUUCCUAGUUCUGGAGUAUUUUUAUUCUAGUUCUCGGAAAGACAUUACAGCGUACCUGGGGUUCGAAGCAGGGGCUAUGCCCAACUUACGAAUCCUUUGUCUCAGUGUGGUGCAUUGGGGUGGUACCAUACCAGUCGGCAUGGAGCACCUGUUACACCUCCAGGAGAUCCGACUUGACGGGGCCUCUCAUGAUGUUGUGUGCGCGUUCAAGGAGGCUUCGCUGGUGCACCCAAACCGCCCUUCCGUUAGUAGACUGGGCUCAAGCCUAGAAAUAAUGGGAAGAUGGUAG
RNAcentral lists this ribosomal RNA (1521 nucleotides) under Triticum aestivum (bread wheat). RNAcentral describes it as "partial small subunit ribosomal RNA". The record is from RNAcentral. Lineage: Eukaryota; Viridiplantae; Streptophyta; Magnoliopsida; Poales; Poaceae.